This is a long non-coding RNA of Oncorhynchus gorbuscha (pink salmon), 494 nucleotides long. RefSeq lists it as uncharacterized. The transcript has 2 exons. NCBI's taxonomy places the organism in Eukaryota, Metazoa, Chordata, Actinopteri, Salmoniformes, Salmonidae. The record is from RefSeq and is a predicted model, not a curated record.
GUUCGUAACCGGGUCCUGACAGGCCCUUUAAACUUUGACCUGUACUGAUGAAGAGUGAAUCUCUCACAAUCCCUUUAAACUUUGACCUGUACUGAUGAAGAGUGAAUUGGAAAGAGAUGGUCUCCUGACUACCAUGUUCUGUGUCCCUCAGAUCCAGUGCUGAAUGAACAGACCAUCUCCAACACAGACACCAAGGCAAUAAGUGGAUCCAAUGCAACAUGAUGGACAGAGAGGAGGAAAACCUUUGUUACCUCAACUUGUGACCCUUUCGUGGCAGAAACGAUCUGCCUCCAAGUCUACAGCCAUACUGGAGCAAGAAGUCAACUUGCAACACACACAACACUCGUGGAUUAAACCUAAAUCUUUCACAACGUGGGUUCUAGCGUUGCUUGGCCCCAGUCACACACAACGUAUCGGAUCCAAGCUAUGAGGUGUGAUAUUGCCUCCUAGAACUGCCCCCCAGAAAUCCCUGCCCGCUCCCCACCCCACCCAGC